RNAcentral lists this ribosomal RNA (1032 nucleotides) under Lactobacillus sp. RNAcentral describes it as "bacterial SSU rRNA". It matches the Rfam family "Bacterial small subunit ribosomal RNA", at positions 202 to 1228 of the family's 1533-position model. The record is from RNAcentral. Lineage: Bacteria; Bacillati; Bacillota; Bacilli; Lactobacillales; Lactobacillaceae.
CGGCUUCGGCUGUCACUUUAGGAUGGACCCGCGGCGUAUUAGCUUGUUGGUAAGGUAACGGCUUACCAAGGCGAUGAUACGUAGCCGACCUGAGAGGGUAAUCGGCCACAUUGGGACUGAGACACGGCCCAAACUCCUACGGGAGGCAGCAGUAGGGAAUCUUCCACAAUGGACGAAAGUCUGAUGGAGCAACGCCGCGUGAGUGAUGAAGGGUUUCGGCUCGUAAAACUCUGUUGUUGGAGAAGAACAGGUGUCAGAGUAACUGUUGACAUCUUGACGGUAUCCAACCAGAAAGCCACGGCUAACUACGUGCCAGCAGCCGCGGUAAUACGUAGGUGGCAAGCGUUGUCCGGAUUUAUUGGGCGUAAAGCGAGCGCAGGCGGUUUUUUAGGUCUGAUGUGAAAGCCUUCGGCUUAACCGGAGAAGUGCAUCGGAAACCGGGAGACUUGAGUGCAGAAGAGGACAGUGGAACUCCAUGUGUAGCGGUGAAAUGCGUAGAUAUAUGGAAGAACACCAGUGGCGAAGGCGGCUGUCUGGUCUGUAACUGACGCUGAGGCUCGAAAGCAUGGGUAGCGAACAGGAUUAGAUACCCUGGUAGUCCAUGCCGUAAACGAUGAGUGCUAAGUGUUGGAGGGUUUCCGCCCUUCAGUGCUGCAGCUAACGCAUUAAGCACUCCGCCUGGGGAGUACGACCGCAAGGUUGAAACUCAAAGGAAUUGACGGGGGCCCGCACAAGCGGUGGAGCAUGUGGUUUAAUUCGAUGCUACGCGAAGAACCUUACCAGGUCUUGACAUCUUCUGCCAACUUAAGAGAUUAGGCGUUCCCUUCGGGGACAGAAUGACAGGUGGUGCAUGGUUGUCGUCAGCUCGUGUCGUGAGAUGUUGGGUUAAGUCCCGCAACGAGCGCAACCCUUAUUGUUAGUUGCCAGCAUUCAGUUGGGCACUCUAGCAAGACUGCCGGUGACAAACCGGAGGAAGGUGGGGAUGACGUCAAAUCAUCAUGCCCCUUAUGACCUGGGCUACACACGUGCUAC